This 517-nucleotide ribosomal RNA is filed under the name Gephyromantis sp. 16 MV-2009. RNAcentral's name for it is "partial 16S ribosomal RNA". It matches the Rfam family "Bacterial large subunit ribosomal RNA", at positions 1859 to 2597 of the family's 2925-position model. The record is from RNAcentral. Lineage: Eukaryota; Metazoa; Chordata; Amphibia; Anura; Mantellidae.
CUGCCCAGUGACCAUGUUUAACGGCCGCAGUACUCUAACCGCGCAAAGGUAGCAUAAUCACUUGUCUUUUAAAUGAGGACUUGUAUCAACGGCAUCACGAGGGUUCCACUGUCUCCUUUUUCUAAUCAGUGAAACUAAUCCCCCCGUGAAGAAGCGGGGAUAAACCUAUAAGACGAGAAGACCCCAUGGAGCUUUAAACCUAGCUGUACCCCUACACCCUUAUACCCCACCAGCCAGGGCCCUCAUGCCAGGUUUUAGGUUGGGGCGACCACGGAGCACAAUUAAACCUCCAUGAUGAACGAGCCUAGUCUCUUAUCCAUGAGACAUAUCUCUAAGAAUUAGUAUUCUAACGUAAAAUGAUCCACUAUUGAUCAACGGACCAAGUUACCCUGGGGAUAACAGCGCAAUCCAUUUCAAGAGCCCUUAUCGACAAAUGGGUUUACGACCUCGAUGUUGGAUCAGGGUAUCCUAGGUGCAGCAGCUACUAAAGGUUCGUUUGUUCAACGAUUAAAACCCU